RNAcentral lists this ribosomal RNA (867 nucleotides) under uncultured archaeon. Its description in RNAcentral is "bacterial SSU rRNA". It matches the Rfam family "Archaeal small subunit ribosomal RNA", at positions 1 to 878 of the family's 1478-position model. The record is from RNAcentral.
CUCGGUUGAUCCUGCCGGACCCGACUGCUAUCAGAGUGGGACUAAGCCAUGCGAGUCAACAUAGCAAUAUGUGGCAUACGGCUCAGUAACACGUAGUCAACAUGCCCAGGGGACGUGGAUAACCUCGGGAAACUGAGGAUAAACCGCGAUAGGUCAUCACUUCUGGAAUGGGUAAUGACUUAAAUCUAUAUGGCCCCUGGAUUGGACUGCGGCCGAUCAGGCUGUUGGUGAGGUAAUGGCCCACCAAACCUGUAACCGGUACGGGCUCUGAGAGGAGGAGCCCGGAGAUGGGCACUGAGACAAGGGCCCAGGCCCUAUGGGGCGCAGCAGGCGCGAAACCUCUGCAAUAGGCGAAAGCUUGACAGGGUUACUCUGAGUGAUUUCCGUUAAGGAGAUCUUUUGGCACCUCUAAAAAUGGUGCAGAAUAAGGGGUGGGCAAGUCUGGUGUCAGCCGCCGCGGUAAUACCAGCACCCCGAGUGGUCGGGACGUUUAUUGGGCCUAAAGCAUCCGUAGCCGGUUCUACAAGUCUUCCGUUAAAUCCACCUGCUUAACAGAUGGGCUGCGGAAGAUACUAUAGAGCUAGGAGGCGGGAGAGGCAAGCGGUACUCGAUGGGUAGGGGUAAAAUCCGUUGAUCCAUUGAAGACCACCAGUGGCGAAGGCGGCUUGCCAGAACGCGCUCGACGGUGAGGGAUGAAAGCUGGGGGAGCAAACCGGAUUAGAUACCCGGGUAGUCCCAGCUGUAAACGAUGCAGACUCGGUGAUGAGUUGGCUUAUUGCUAACUCAGUGCCGCAGGGAAGCCGUUAAGUUUGCCGCCUGGGGAGUACGGUCGCAAGACUGAAACUUAAAGGAAUUGGCGGGGGAGCA